RNAcentral lists this ribosomal RNA (746 nucleotides) under uncultured bacterium. RNAcentral describes it as "bacterial SSU rRNA". It matches the Rfam family "Bacterial small subunit ribosomal RNA", at positions 8 to 796 of the family's 1533-position model. The record is from RNAcentral.
AGAGUUUGAUCCUGGCUCAGGAUGAACGCUGGCGGUCUGCUUAACACAUGCAAGUCGAACGGGACUCUUCGGAGUUCAGUGGCGGACGGGUGAGUAACGCGUGAGAAUCUGCCUUCGGGUUGGGGACAACCACUGGAAACGGUGGCUAAUACCCAAUGUGCCGCAACGUGAAAGAUUUAUCGCCCGAAGAUGAGCUCGCGUCUGAUUAGCUAGUUGGUGGGGUAAAGGCUCACCAAGGCAACGAUCAGUAGCUGGUCUGAGAGGAUGACCAGCCACACUGGGACUGAGACACGGCCCAGACUCCUACGGGAGGCAGCAGUGGGGAAUUUUCCGCAAUGGGCGAAAGCCUGACGGAGCAAGACCGCGUGAGGGAGGAAGGCCCUUGGGUUGUAAACCUCUUUUGUCAGGGAAGAACACAAUGACGGUACCUGACGAAUCAGCCUCGGCUAACUCCGUGCCAGCAGCCGCGGUAAUACGGAGGAGGCAAGCGUUAUCCGGAAUUAUUGGGCGUAAAGCGUCCGCAGGUGGCUUAUCAAGUCUGCCGUCAAAGACCGGGGCUUAACCCUGGAAAGGCGGUGGAAACUGACAAGCUAGAGUGUCGUAGGGGUAGAGGGAAUUCCCGGUGUAGCGGUGAAAUGCGUAGAGCUCGGGAAGAACAUCGGUGGCGAAAGCGCUUUACUGGACGGCAACUGACACUCAGGGACGAAAGCUAGGGGAGCGAAUGGGAUUAGAUACCCUAGUAGUCC